GGGUGUUUUCGGCUCUUUGGUUGGAUUGUUGCCUUCAUCACAUUUCCUGUUUACAUUCUCUAUUCUAAUUCAUAUUGCAUUCAAUUAGUUCUGCCAUUUGAGUCUGACCAAUUUUUUUCAAAGGUAAAUACACCUUCUCAUGGAAUACUAAUGUUGAAAUAAGAAACAAAAUUAAAUAAAUGCCUGUGCUUUAAUAUGAUGCUAGCAUGUUUCAUGAAUCAAUUUGCAAAAUAUAUCAUUAACAAAUACACUAAAGUAAUGCUUACAUCUUUCAUGAAUUAAUUUGUAAAAUACAUAAUUAACAAAUAUAGUAAAGUAAUGAUGAAAUCACUUGAAUAAAAUAUACUUUGGUUCCCAAAAUACAGAAACUAUUUACUAAUAAUAAUAACUACAACAUCUUCAAUAAACAUUACAAUUGUUGACAAGUACAAAUUCAUAUAACAGUUCAAUUUAAUAAGGAACAAAAAUUACUACAUUUGUAUUAAUUAGCAAAACCACAGAACAUUAAAAUAUGUCAAUGACAGACUGUUAAUACAAAGCACCAAUUUACUUAUUAAUCAAUUUAUAAAAUAUCACACUAGCUACUAUCUAAAGUGGAUUGUUAAAUAUGAAAUUAAUGAAAGGAACAUUUUACAAGAUAAAAUUAAUGAAUGCGUUUUAUUUUCUUAUUAAUACAUUCAACAUGUUCAAACAAAGAAACGAAAAGAUGAAAAGUUGAUGGAUGGCUGUUUAACUCCUGGUGGCAAAUUAAAUGCAAUUUAGGAUUGGAACAUGUCAAUGUAAUAAAAAUAUGAACCCUGUCUGUUUUUACUACACUGACAUUUUAAAUGUACUAGUUAACAAGGUAACCUUACUUUUACACGUAAUUCUGACAGGGUUCUUUCUCAUAAAUGCUGCAUGCUAAGCAGAGAGCAUCAAAUAUACAAAUUUAGAUGUUUUUGGUUUUCCUUGAGAUUUAAAUUGAACCUCACCCACCCCCCCCCCCCCCCCCCCCCCCCCCCAAACUAUUCUAAAUUUUAUAUAAGUGAACAUUCCUUAGCGAGGAGUUGAGCUUUAUAACAUCUCAAGGUUAAGGAUUAAAGAAGCAUAUCUGGUGAAUGCAGAAUGGCACAUUGAUUAAACACUGUUUUAUUAAUGUAACAUAACUUGACUAGUAAAUAACUAGCAAAUAGACCUAAUUAAAUGUCAAAUAUGAUAUUAUUCAGGCAAGAACAUCACACACCGAAUGUUUAGUAAAAAUAAACACAAUCUGGCUUUUAUAUGUCACUUCAAAUUAAACAAAUACUUUUACAAAAACAUAUAUAUGAGCAUCUUUGAUGUACAUGAUACAUGAAUGAAUAAACAUUCAAUAUUAUUUUACUUUGCUUCGAACCAAAAAACAGAAUCACUCAAUAUUAAUCAAUUGUUAAAUGUUGGUACACCAGGGAGGACUCUUUUUUUUUAUAUCUGAUAUCUGGAAAUGCAAUUGUAUAGGUUCAUUACAGAUAGCUUAAAUCCUGUAUGGUGUGAGUGAAAUGUUUAAGUACAUGUAUGUUGAUUUGAUUAUUGCUGUCAUCUUUAUUUUCAAAAGAAAAAGACAUACUAUAAAUUCAGAAAUUAAAGCUAGAUUUUUAUUACUGAAAAGAAUGUGGUCGGGUGAGAAUUGUAAUAAUAGUUACUCACAUUCUGAUACUUGGUGCAAAUAUCUGUAUGCAGAUUUUCAAAAAAUCACAAUUAUUAAUCUUGCAUUUAUGUUAUUCUUCGAAAAUCGCAAUAAUAAAUGUGCAACAAUAAUUUUUAAAUUUACAUUUUUUUGAGGAUGCAAUAGUUGCCAACAUGUAUAACACCAAAAGCACUGUUUUUGUCAUUAGUCUGAUAUUAAAGAUGUUAUAGCCUCAUCGGUGGUACAUGUAUAAUGCUUUUCUUAAACAUAUAUCUGUAAGCUUGUCUAUCAUUUAAGAUGUCUAGUCUUCUGGUUUCUGCUGUUUCACCAAUGUUCACUCAAAUAAAAUCCUUUUGUUAAUGUUUUUGCAAGAAGUUUUAUUGAAUUCCUUUUUAAAUGGUUUAGGAGUUUUACUAAUAGGGUCAACAUUAUGAAUAAUCAAAAUGAAAUUUCACUUUCAAUCAUUCGAAGACCUUGUGAUACAUAAAAUUACUUUGCUUCAUGCACAUCUUCAUAUAAAAGGUACUUUACUUUGUGUGAUGUUUUAUCUAUAUCAAACAGUUAUGAGGAGUAGCACUUGCAAGGUCAGUUUCAUCAGAGAAAUCAAUGACAAAUGAAUUGUCUCCCCUUCACAUUGUUUUGGUUCAUGAAUAUUUUUACAGGUUAUGUAUCUUCAAGUAGACAUUUAAUUGAAAUUGAUCAACAGUUGAGUAAAUAUUACACUGAAUUUGAUUAUUUUUUCUUCAUGUUGUUUGAUCACAAUUAAGUAUAUUUGUACAAAUCUUUGAACGGUGGCAAUAUUUGAUUAAAAAUCAUGAUCCUCCCCAAAAAUUCUACAAAAGCUAAGGCGUUACAAAUGUAUUGUCCAAAAGUUUAGUAAACAUUACUAUUAUAAAAAUGUACCAAUUUACUAUUAUCAGAUUUUUUCCAGAAUAUUAAUCUUAUAAUAUUUUGUUUAUAUAAACAUCAUUGCAUCUCAUAGAAAAACCCAUGAACAUAAAAUAUAAGAAAAAUACAAGCAGAUUCAUUUUACCUUUGAUUGAAUGAACAAAAACUUAUGUAUAAAAAGAUGUUGAAAUAUAUUGAUAUUAAACUUUAAUGGUGGGUUAUUUCAAUAUCAAACACUAAAAGAUAUAAAAGUACUUACAAAAAUUAUAAGUUAUAACAUUUCUUCUUAAUCAUGUUGAUAGUACAAUUUGGUAAAUGUACUUUAAGUUCAUUAUUUAUAUUGGUACUGAUUUACAUUUGAUUUUUUUAUGAAGGCAAAAAACAAUAAAUUUAAGUAUUCCACAAAGUACAAAUUUCAAAUAUUAAAGCUUGUAUGACAAAAAAUGUAUGAAGAUUUUUUUAAAUCACAAAAGCAGGCAUCCCAAAAAAUAUCCCUGUCCCCUAAUCCAUGAAAAUUGGUUGACAUGGCAUGCAUGAGAACAUAUGAAUUCACAGUAAUACAAAGAUGAAAAUAUAAUACAUGAGGAAUAUUUCAGUCUCUUUUUAAAAAAGACUGACUUGAUAGUUUCUUACAAACUGUUGAACAUAUAUUACCAACCACUAGGUCUUGAUUUGUAGUUUUCAAGAUUUUCACAAAAUUACAAUUUUGACUUAAAGUGAUUGCUAAAUAAACAUGAUCACAAUUGUAAACAAGGACAAAUUCAUAUAAGUAACAAUUUAAUUUAAGAAAAACAAAAUGUACACCACAGAACAUUAAAAAUAUUUCCAUGUUAAUACAAAACACUAUUACUUAUUAAUCAAUUUAUAAGAAUAUCACACUAGCUUCUAUCUAAAGUGGAUUGUUAAAUAUGAAAUUAAUGAAAGGAACAAUAUAUUAGAUCAAAUUAAUCAAUGCUAUUUUAUUAUUUAUUACAUUCAACCAAAAGAUACAAAAAAGAUGAAGAUGUUGAUGAAACUAACUUCUGGUGACAAAUCAAAUGCAAUUUAGGAUGGGAGCAUGUCAAUGAAAUAAGAAUAUAAACCUUGCCUUGUCAACUUAAAUGAACUAGUUUACAAAGUAACCCUACCAUUACACAUUAUUCUGAUAGGGUUCUUUCUCUUAUAUGCUGCAUACUAAGCAGAAAGGCUACAAAUAAAAAUGAAGAUAUUUUUUUGUUUUCACUCAAGAUUUGGAUUGAACACAUACAGCCCACCUCUCCUCCCCCACUCCUUUUCCCUCUUUGCAUUCCUAGUCAAUCAAGAUAGGAGUCAAAUGCACCUGCAAAAAGUUGUCAACCUAGAGAUAGAUCCUUUUGGAAAGAAUGAAAGUCUUCCCAAACUAUUCAAGUUCUGUAUAAGUGAACAUCCCUUGUAUAAGGGGGUGUUGAUUUUUAAACCAUCACAAGAAAAAGGAUAAAAAAAGCUUAUCUGGUGAAUGCAGAAUGGCACGUUGAUUUAACACCGUUUUAUUAAGGUUACAUAACUUGACUAGCAUAUCGACCUGAUUGAAUGUCAAAUAUGAUAUUAUUCAGGCAAGAACAUCACACACUGAAUGUUAAGUAAAAAAAUAAACACAAACUGGUUUAUAGCACUUUAAAAUAUGACCGGUAACAAAUAAUAGUUAUGCUAAUUUAUGCGUAGAUUGAUUGGUGUUUGCAAUAAAGCGCCUCACCACAAAAGGCACAAGCUUAUUCAAAAAUGUAUACAAUAUCAAAGUACUGUUUUCUAUUAGAAAAAAGCUCCUUUAAUAUAUUAGGGAUUUAAGUUGAAAGUGAAAUUUCUU
This 4352-nucleotide long non-coding RNA is filed under the name Mytilus galloprovincialis (Mediterranean mussel). The record is from RNAcentral. Lineage: Eukaryota; Metazoa; Mollusca; Bivalvia; Mytilida; Mytilidae.